AUGAUGCCCAGCUUGCUGGGCGGAUUAGUGGCGAACGGGUGAGUAAUACGUGAGUAACCUGCCCUUGACUCUGGGAUAAGCCUGGGAAACUGGGUCUAAUACUGGAUACUACCUCUUACCGCAUGGUGGGUGGUGGAAAGGGUUUUACUGGUUUUGGAUGGGCUCACGGCCUAUCAGCUUGUUGGUGGGGUAAUGGCUCACCAAGGCGACGACGGGUAGCCGGCCUGAGAGGGUGACCGGCCACACUGGGACUGAGACACGGCCCAGACUCCUACGGGAGGCAGCAGUGGGGAAUAUUGCACAAUGGGCGGAAGCCUGAUGCAGCGACGCCGCGUGAGGGAUGACGGCCUUCGGGUUGUAAACCUCUUUCAGUAGGGAAGAAGCGAGAGUGACGGUACCUGCAGAAGAAGCGCCGGCUAACUACGUGCCAGCAGCCGCGGUAAUACGUAGGGCGCAAGCGUUGUCCGGAAUUAUUGGGCGUAAAGAGCUCGUAGGCGGUUUGUCGCGUCUGCUGUGAAAGCCCGGGGCUCAACCCCGGGUCUGCAGUGGGUACGGGCAGACUAGAGUGCAGUAGGGGAGACUGGAAUUCCUGGUGUAGCGGUGAAAUGCGCAGAUAUCAGGAGGAACACCGAUGGCGAAGGCAGGUCUCUGGGCUGUUACUGACGCUGAGGAGCGAAAGCAUGGGGAGCGAACAGGAUUAGAUACCCUGGUAGUCCAUGCCGUAAACGUUGGGCACUAGGUGUGGGGGACAUUCCACGUUUUCCGCGCC
RNAcentral lists this ribosomal RNA (769 nucleotides) under Kocuria sp. 2CB17. RNAcentral's name for it is "bacterial SSU rRNA". It matches the Rfam family "Bacterial small subunit ribosomal RNA", at positions 69 to 847 of the family's 1533-position model. Lineage: Bacteria; Bacillati; Actinomycetota; Actinomycetes; Micrococcales; Micrococcaceae. The record is from RNAcentral.